RNAcentral lists this ribosomal RNA (499 nucleotides) under uncultured bacterium. RNAcentral describes it as "partial 16S ribosomal RNA". It matches the Rfam family "Bacterial small subunit ribosomal RNA", at positions 899 to 1397 of the family's 1533-position model. The record is from RNAcentral.
ACUCAAAUGAAUUGACGGGGGCCCGCACAAGCGGUGGAUCAUGUGGUUUAAUUCGAAGCAACGCGAAGAACCUUACCUGGGUUUGACAUCCUUGGACAUCCGUAGAGAUACGGCUUCUGUAGCAAUACAGCCAAGUGACAGGUGCUGCAUGGCUGUCGUCAGCUCGUGUGGUGACAUGUUGGGUUAAGUCCCGCAACGAGCGCAACCCUUGUCUUUAGUUGCCAGCAUUCAGUUGGGCUCUCUAAAGAGACUGCCGUGGUGAACACGGAGGAAGGUGGGGAUGACGUCAAGUCCUCAUGGCCUUUAUAUCCAGGGCGACACACGUGAUACAAUGGUCGAUACAGAGGGAAGCGAAUGCGCGAGCAGGAGCUAAUCUCAAAAAGUCGAUCUCAGUUCGGAUUGGAGUCUGCAACUCGACUCCAUGAAGUUGGAAUCGCUAGUAAUCGCGGAUCAGCACGCCGCGGUGAAUACGUUCCCGGGCCUUGCACACACCGCCCGU